RNAcentral lists this ribosomal RNA (840 nucleotides) under Faucicola osloensis. RNAcentral describes it as "bacterial SSU rRNA". It matches the Rfam family "Bacterial small subunit ribosomal RNA", at positions 62 to 900 of the family's 1533-position model. Lineage: Bacteria; Pseudomonadati; Pseudomonadota; Gammaproteobacteria; Moraxellales; Moraxellaceae. The record is from RNAcentral.
UCGAACGAUGACUAUCUAGCUUGCUAGAUAUGAUUAGUGGCGGACGGGUGAGUAACAUUUAGGAAUCUGCCUAGUAGUGGGGGAUAGCUCGGGGAAACUCGAAUUAAUACCGCAUACGACCUACGGGUGAAAGGGGGCGCAAGCUCUUGCUAUUAGAUGAGCCUAAAUCAGAUUAGCUAGUUGGUGGGGUAAAGGCCCACCAAGGCGACGAUCUGUAACUGGUCUGAGAGGAUGAUCAGUCACACCGGAACUGAGACACGGUCCGGACUCCUACGGGAGGCAGCAGUGGGGAAUAUUGGACAAUGGGGGCAACCCUGAUCCAGCCAUGCCGCGUGUGUGAAGAAGGCCUUUUGGUUGUAAAGCACUUUAAGCAGGGAGGAGAGGCUAAUGGUUAAUACCCAUUAGAUUAGACGUUACCUGCAGAAUAAGCACCGGCUAACUCUGUGCCAGCAGCCGCGGUAAUACAGAGGGUGCGAGCGUUAAUCGGAAUUACUGGGCGUAAAGCGAGUGUAGGUGGCUCAUUAAGUCACAUGUGAAAUCCCCGGGCUUAACCUGGGAACUGCAUGUGAUACUGGUGGUGCUAGAAUAUGUGAGAGGGAAGUAGAAUUCCAGGUGUAGCGGUGAAAUGCGUAGAGAUCUGGAGGAAUACCGAUGGCGAAGGCAGCUUCCUGGCAUAAUAUUGACACUGAGAUUCGAAAGCGUGGGUAGCAAACAGGAUUAGAUACCCUGGUAGUCCACGCCGUAAACGAUGUCUACUAGCCGUUGGGGUCCUUGAGACUUUAGUGGCGCAGUUAACGCGAUAAGUAGACCGCCUGGGGAGUACGGCCGCAAGGUUAAAAC